RNAcentral lists this ribosomal RNA (158 nucleotides) under Protohydnum sp. GEL5065. RNAcentral's name for it is "Bourdotia sp. GEL5065 5.8S ribosomal RNA". It matches the Rfam family "5.8S ribosomal RNA". Rfam says of the family: 5.8S ribosomal RNA (5.8S rRNA) is a component of the large subunit of the eukaryotic ribosome. It is transcribed by RNA polymerase I as part of the 45S precursor that also contains 18S and 28S rRNA. The record is from RNAcentral. Lineage: Eukaryota; Fungi; Basidiomycota; Agaricomycetes; Auriculariales; Exidiaceae.
CAACUUUCAGCAACGGAUCUCUAGGCUCUCGCAUCGAUGAAGAACGCAGCGAAAUGCGAUAAGUAAUGUGAAUUGCAGAAUUCAGUGAAUCAUCGAAUCUUUGAACGCACCUUGCGCCCCGUGGUAUUCCGCGGGGCACGCCUGUUUGAGUGUCACGU